UACGAAGGGGGCAAGCGUUGUUCGGAAUUACUGGGCGUAAAGGGCGCGUAGGCGGCUUAUCAAGUCAGGCGUGAAAUUCCCGGGCUCAACCUGGGGGCUGCGCUUGAUACUGAUUGGCUUGAAUGCGGGAGAGGAUAGUGGAAUUCCCAGUGUAGAGGUGAAAUUCGUAGAUAUUGGGAGGAACACCGGUGGCGAAGGCGCACAUCUGGCCCGAUACUGACGCUGAGGCGCGAAAGCUAGGGGAGCAAACGGG
Molecule: ribosomal RNA, 253 nt
Filed under: uncultured bacterium
Lineage: Bacteria
Description: partial 16S ribosomal RNA
Rfam family: Bacterial small subunit ribosomal RNA
Source: RNAcentral